This 76-nucleotide transfer RNA is filed under the name Monodelphis domestica (gray short-tailed opossum). It matches the Rfam family "tRNA". Rfam says of the family: Transfer RNA (tRNA) molecules are approximately 80 nucleotides in length. Their secondary structure includes four short double-helical elements and three loops (D, anti-codon, and T loops). Lineage: Eukaryota; Metazoa; Chordata; Mammalia; Didelphimorphia; Didelphidae. The record is from Rfam by way of RNAcentral.
GUUGAUGUGGGUCAGUGUGACAGAAAGAACACUGGUUUUGGAAACCAGAAACCUGGGUUCGAAUCUCAGCUCUACA